CGGCCGCGUCGACACACCAGUGGCGAAGGCGCUCUACUGGCCGACAACUGACGCUGAGGGACGAAAGGACUAAGGGAGGCGAAGUAGGAGUUAGUAGUACCCUACGUAGUCCUACGCCGUAACCGAAUGGAGUACUAGGUGUUGUUCUGUAUCGACCGGACCGACGUGCCGUAGCUAACGCGUUAAGUAUCCCGCCUCGGGAGGUACGCGACGCAAGUAGUGAAACUCAAAGGAAUUGAACGGGGCCCGCACGAACGCGGUGGAAGUAGUGUGGUUUAAAUUCGAUUGCAACGCGAAGAACCUUACCAGGACUUGACAAGUCUGGGAGCAAG
RNAcentral lists this ribosomal RNA (332 nucleotides) under uncultured Nodularia sp. RNAcentral's name for it is "bacterial SSU rRNA". It matches the Rfam family "Bacterial small subunit ribosomal RNA", at positions 694 to 1000 of the family's 1533-position model. The record is from RNAcentral. Lineage: Bacteria; Bacillati; Cyanobacteriota; Cyanophyceae; Nostocales; Nodulariaceae.